This 497-nucleotide ribosomal RNA is filed under the name uncultured bacterium. Its description in RNAcentral is "partial 16S ribosomal RNA". It matches the Rfam family "Bacterial small subunit ribosomal RNA", at positions 28 to 507 of the family's 1533-position model. The record is from RNAcentral.
GAUGAACGCUGGUGGCGUGCCUAAUACAUGCAAGUCGAGCGAACAGACGAGGAGCUUGCUCCUCUGACGUUAGCGGCGGACGGGUGAGUAACACGUGGAUAACCUACCUAUAAGACUGGGAUAACUUCGGGAAACCGGAGCUAAUACCGGAUAAUAUAUUGAACCGCAUGGUUCAAUAGUGAAAGACGGUUUUGCUGUCACUUAUAGAUGGAUCCGCGCCGCAUUAGCUAGUUGGUAAGGUAACGGCUUACCAAGGCAACGAUGCGUAGCCGACCUGAGAGGGUGAUCGGCCACACGGGAACUGAGACACGGUCCAGACUCCUACGGGAGGAAGCAGUAGGGAAUCUUCCGCAAUGGGCGAAAGCCUGACGGAGCAACGCCGCGUGAAUGAUGAAGGUCUUCGGAUCGUAAAACUCUGUUAUUAGGGAAGAACAAAUGUGUAAGUAACUAUGCACGUCUUGACGGUACCUAAUCAGAAAGCCACGGCUAACUACGUG